GCGAGUGUAGCUCAGCGGUGAGAGCGCCACGCUCAUACCGUGGAGGUCGAGGGUUCGAUUCCCUCCACUCGCA
This 73-nucleotide transfer RNA is filed under the name Candidatus Woesearchaeota archaeon. RNAcentral's name for it is "tRNA-Met". It matches the Rfam family "tRNA". Rfam says of the family: Transfer RNA (tRNA) molecules are approximately 80 nucleotides in length. Lineage: Archaea; Nanobdellati; Candidatus Woesearchaeota. The record is from RNAcentral.